RNAcentral lists this ribosomal RNA (442 nucleotides) under uncultured bacterium. RNAcentral describes it as "partial 16S ribosomal RNA". It matches the Rfam family "Bacterial small subunit ribosomal RNA", at positions 338 to 795 of the family's 1533-position model. The record is from RNAcentral.
CCUACGGGAGGCAGCAGUGGGGAAUAUUGGGCAAUGGGCGCAAGCCUGACCCAGCAACGCCGCGUGAAGGAAGAAGGCUUUCGGGUUGUAAACUUCUUUUCUCAGGGACGAAGAAAGUGACGGUACCUGAGGAAUAAGCCACGGCUAACUACGUGCCAGCAGCCGCGGUAAUACGUAGGUGGCAAGCGUUAUCCGGAUUUACUGGGUGUAAAGGGCGUGUAGGCGGGAACGCAAGUCAGAUGUGAACACCAUGGGCUCAACCUGUGGCCUGCAUUUGAAACUGUUGUUCGUGAGUACUGGAGAGGCAGACGGAAUUCCUAGUGUAGCGGUGAAAUGCGUAGAUAUGAGGAGGAACACCAGUGGCGAAGGCGGUCGGCUGGACAGCAACUGACGCUGAGGCGCGAAAGCGUGGGGAGCAAACAGGAUUAGAUACCCUGUAGUC